Molecule: unclassified non-coding RNA, 430 nt
Filed under: soil metagenome
Description: partial contains 5.8S ribosomal RNA, internal transcribed spacer 2, and large subunit ribosomal RNA
Rfam family: 5.8S ribosomal RNA (bases 1-120)
Source: RNAcentral
GAUGAAGAACGUAGCGAAAUGCGAUACGUAAUGUGAAUUGCAGAAUUCAGUGAAUCAUCGAAUCUUUGAACGCAUAUUGCGCUCUCUGGUAUUCCGGAGAGCAUGCUUGUUUGAGUAUCAGUAAACACCUCAACUCCCUUUUCUUUUUUGAAAUUGGAGCUGGACUUGAGUGAUCCCAACGCUUUCUUCCAAGAAAGUGGCGGGUUGCUUGAAAUGCAGGUGCAGCUGAACUUUUCUCUGAGCUAUAAGCAUAUCUAUUUAGUCUGCCUAAAAAACAGAUUAUUACCUUUGCUGCAGCUAACAUAAAGGAGAUUAGUUCUUGUGCUGACUGAUGCAGGAUUCACAAAGACGGCUUCGGCCGACUUUGUAAACUCGAUCUCAAAUCAAGUAAGACUACCCGCUGAACUUAAGCAUAUCAAUAAGCGGAGGA